AUACGUAGGUGACAAGCGUUAUCCGGAUUUACUGGGUGUAAAGGGCGUGUAGGCGGUUUAGCAAGUCAGAAGUGAAAUUCCCGGGCUUAACUUGGGCGCUGCUUCUGAAACUGCUUUACUUGAGUGCUGGAGAGGAUAGUGGAAUUCCUAGUGUAGCGGUAAAAUGCGCAGAUAUUAGGAGGAACACCGGUGGCGAAGGCGGCUAUCUGGACAGUAACUGUCGCUGAGGCGCGAAAGCACGGGGAGCAAACAGGAUUAGAUACCCUGGUAGUCCGUGCUGUAAACGAUGAAUACUAGGUGUAGGGGGUAUCGACUCCCUCUGUGCCGCAGUUAACACAUUAAGUAUUCCACCUGGGGAGUACGGCCGCAAGGUUGAAACUCAAAGGAAUUGACGGGG
This 397-nucleotide ribosomal RNA is filed under the name uncultured bacterium. RNAcentral's name for it is "partial 16S ribosomal RNA". It matches the Rfam family "Bacterial small subunit ribosomal RNA", at positions 523 to 918 of the family's 1533-position model. The record is from RNAcentral.